GGCUCCGUAGCUCAACGGGAAGAGCGCGGUGAGGUGCAGGUUCGAGUCCUGCCGGAGCCACAA
RNAcentral lists this transfer RNA (63 nucleotides) under Bacteroidota bacterium. RNAcentral describes it as "Bacteroidetes bacterium tRNA-OTHER". It matches the Rfam family "tRNA". From Rfam's summary of the family: Transfer RNA (tRNA) molecules are approximately 80 nucleotides in length. Their secondary structure includes four short double-helical elements and three loops (D, anti-codon, and T loops). Further hydrogen bonds mediate the characteristic L-shaped molecular structure. tRNAs have two regions of fundamental functional importance: the anti-codon, which is responsible for specific mRNA codon recognition, and the 3' end, to which the tRNAs corresponding amino acid is attached (by aminoacyl-tRNA synthetases). tRNAs cope with the degeneracy of the genetic code in two manners: having more than one tRNA (with a specific anti-codon) for a particular amino acid; and 'wobble' base-pairing, i.e. permitting non-standard base-pairing at the 3rd anti-codon position. The record is from RNAcentral. Lineage: Bacteria; Pseudomonadati; Bacteroidota.